GCUGGGUGCAGUGGCACACUCCUGUAAUCCCAGCAGCUUGGGAGGCUGAGGCAGGAGGAUUACAAGUUCAAAGCCAACCUUGGAAAAAGUGAGGCACUAAGCAAUUCAGUGAGACCCUGUCUCUA
RNAcentral lists this small RNA (125 nucleotides) under Marmota monax (woodchuck). Lineage: Eukaryota; Metazoa; Chordata; Mammalia; Rodentia; Sciuridae. The record is from RNAcentral.